GCUUAAUGGUAGAGCAGUGGUUUCCAAAACCAAAGGUUGAAGGUUCGAGUCCUUUUCUUC
RNAcentral lists this transfer RNA (60 nucleotides) under Thraustochytrium sp. LLF1b. It matches the Rfam family "tRNA", at positions 10 to 63 of the family's 71-position model. Rfam says of the family: Transfer RNA (tRNA) molecules are approximately 80 nucleotides in length. Their secondary structure includes four short double-helical elements and three loops (D, anti-codon, and T loops). The record is from RNAcentral. Lineage: Eukaryota; Bigyra; Thraustochytrida; Thraustochytriidae.